RNAcentral lists this ribosomal RNA (873 nucleotides) under Didymella variabilis. RNAcentral's name for it is "partial large subunit ribosomal RNA". It matches the Rfam family "Eukaryotic large subunit ribosomal RNA", at positions 68 to 959 of the family's 3401-position model. Lineage: Eukaryota; Fungi; Ascomycota; Dothideomycetes; Pleosporales; Didymellaceae. The record is from RNAcentral.
ACAGGGAUUGCCCUAGUAACGGCGAGUGAAGCGGCAACAGCUCAAAUUUGAAAUCUGGCGUCUUUGGCGUCCGAGUUGUAAUUUGCAGAGGGCGCUUUGGCAUUGGCAGCGGUCCAAGUUCCUUGGAACAGGACGUCACAGAGGGUGAGAAUCCCGUACGUGGUCGCUAGCCUUUGCCGUGUAAAGCCCCUUCGACGAGUCGAGUUGUUUGGGAAUGCAGCUCUAAAUGGGAGGUAAAUUUCUUCUAAAGCUAAAUACUGGCCAGAGACCGAUAGCGCACAAGUAGAGUGAUCGAAAGAUGAAAAGCACUUUGGAAAGAGAGUUAAAAAGCACGUGAAAUUGUUGAAAGGGAAGCGCUUGCAGCCAGACUUGCCUGUAGUUGCUCAUCCGGGUUUCUACCCGGUGCACUCUUCUAUAGGCAGGCCAGCAUCAGUUUGGGCGGUUGGAUAAAGGUCUCUGUCAUGUACCUCUCUUCGGGGAGAACUUAUAGGGGAGACGACAUGCAACCAGCCUGGACUGAGGUCCGCGCAUCUGCUAGGAUGCUGGCGUAAUGGCUGUAAGCGGCCCGUCUUGAAACACGGACCAAGGAGUCUAACAUCUAUGCGAGUGUUUGGGUGUCAAGCCCGAGCGCGUAAUGAAAGUGAACGGAGGUGGGAACCUUUCGGGGUGCACCAUCGACCGAUCCUGAUGUCUUCGGAUGGAUUUGAGUAAGAGCAUAGCUGUUGGGACCCGAAAGAUGGUGAACUAUGCUUGAAUAGGGUGAAGCCAGAGGAAACUCUGGUGGAGGCUCGCAGCGGUUCUGACGUGCAAAUCGAUCGUCAAAUUUGGGCAUAGGGGCGAAAGACUAAUCGAACUAUCUAGUAGCUGGUUCCU